UCGCCCCUACGGGAGGCAGCAGUAGGGAAUUUUCGUCAAUGGGCGCAAGCCUGAACGAGCAAUGCCGCGUGAACGAGGAAGGUCUUCGGAUCGUAAAGUUCUGUUGAAGGGGAAAAAGAGCGGAGAGAGGAAAUGAACUCCGAUUGAUAUUACCCUUCGAGGAAGUCACGGCUAACUACGUGCCAGCAGCCGCGGUAAUACGUGGGUGGCGAGCGUUAUCCGGAAUGAUUGGGCGUAAAGGGUGCGUAGGCGGCCUGCUAAGUCUGGAGUGAAAGGUACCGGCUCAACCGGUACAGGUCCGGGCA
Molecule: ribosomal RNA, 305 nt
Filed under: uncultured bacterium
Lineage: Bacteria
Description: bacterial SSU rRNA
Rfam family: Bacterial small subunit ribosomal RNA
Source: RNAcentral